This is a long non-coding RNA of Acanthochromis polyacanthus (spiny chromis), 169 nucleotides long. RefSeq lists it as uncharacterized. Lineage: Eukaryota; Metazoa; Chordata; Actinopteri; Pomacentridae. The record is from RefSeq and is a predicted model, not a curated record. The transcript has 4 exons.
UGCUGGUUAUAGUGACCUGCUGGUUAAGGUAACCUACUGGUUAUAGUGACCUACUGGUUAAGGUGACCUGCUGGUUAUAGUGACCUGCUGGUUAAGGUAACCUACUGGUUAAGGUAACCUACUGGUUAAGGUAACCUACUGGUUAAGGUGACCUGCUGGUUAUAGUGAC